Molecule: long non-coding RNA, 1773 nt
Organism: Numida meleagris (helmeted guineafowl)
Lineage: Eukaryota; Metazoa; Chordata; Aves; Galliformes; Numididae
Exons: 4
Source: RefSeq, a predicted model, not a curated record
UGUGGAAGAAAACAAAGAGACAGAGAAAGCUCUCAGCCCAAGUGGGCAGGGAGUGAGGGAUCCAUUGGGGAGAUGCUGCUUUGAAAGGAGAUGAGAGGAAGGGACAGAAGGAAGGUUCAGGACAGCGAUGGGGUCCUAAUACAUCAAAAAUCUACCCUUGGAAGCAUACAUCCCUGCUCAAACAUUCGAAAUACCAGGAUUUCACCAUGGGGCAGAUCGAGUGCAACUUCGUAGGAAUUCUUCCCAGGUGCUGAGGUUCUGCAGCCACCACCAGCUACUGGUGCUGGAGGGACACUUCCAGCAGCACCAGCGUCCCUCAAGGCACCUGGCUGCAGGAUUACACAGCAGUUGUGCUUGCUGACCUCGCAGGGGAAACCCCAGAGUUGGAUCCAUCUGACUCAAACCAUCUAAAAGGCAUAAAUCUAAACUUAGGGCAACACAUUUUAAAACCAUCCUAUUACAAAUGCUCAGCCACUUUGCUUCAAAACACUUCAGCAGUGCUGUAUUCAGUAACACAAAGAGCCAGGUGUUGUAAUGUCUGAAGUAAAAACUGCAAGGAAAGCUCAUGCACUUCUUUUUGUGUAGGUAAAAGCUGCAGGUGCUUGUGACAUUCUUUCUCAGCCCCUCAUCCCUUUCUCAGGAGAGCUGAGAUACCAUGAAUUUAUGCCUCGAGCCUGCAGGGGAUUUCCCACGGAAAUGACUUGCAAGUACUGUUUCUUCCAGAUGCGGUGAACAGAGGUUUUGAUCAUGAGACUAAUGCUCUCCUGGGCUUAGAGGGACUUUGCAACCAAAAUGAUGACUUCUGCAAACCUUUUCAGCUGCAGAAGAGCGAGCUGAAGGCAAAAAAUUAAAUGCUGUGGCAGCUGCUGACAGUCUUAUGUGAGUGUUAUGUGACAUUCUGGGUAGGUUAUGAAAAGCCAGAGGACUUCCACUGUUCGUCUAGGAUCUCUGUGGGCUUGGAUAUCUAGAGAAAGAGAAACUUGGGAGCAGAAAAGGUGAUAGAAAUGAAAAUAGUAUUCUAAGAGCAGACUUCAGCUUGUGCCUGCAGAGGGACACAAACAACCCCCGAAAGUAGAGGAGGUCAAGAACAUUCCUGCUGAAGGCUUUUAUGGAAACCUGCUGCUCCUGAGAACAACCUGGUGCUGUUUGGAGCUCUGAGGCUUCAACUCCUUUCAGGUGCUCUGUGCCUGUUGCAGAACGUAUUGGUUUUAUAAUGCCAUAAGUCUUCCCUUGAAUGCUACAGAGCAAUUGCCUCAAUCUGGAGGCAGAGGGAACCAAUUAUCCCAAUUCUGGCAGAUGUAGCUCCUUGCACAAAGUUGCAGCUUUUCAUUAUUCGGUAUGAUUUGAGCACACUGUGAAAAGUACUGCAGCUCUUCAGUUCCCUGUGCUGUAAUAGAUUAGAGACAUGGUUUUGUCCUUGCAGUCCUGGGCUGUAAAAUGUAAAUGUAACCCCAGGUGUUUCCUAUUGCUAUUAUCCCCAACUGGAACUGUAGGCACCCUUGCUGAAAGGCACACAAAGAUGUUUGUUUCAAUAAUGUGUAUAUAUACAUAUAUCUUUUCUUUUAAAGUUGUUCAAAUUCCACUGAUGCCUCCUAUAGAAAAUGCUUUAAGAACCUGCCAGCACUAGUACUCCAUUUCAUGCCCUUGCAGCUGUCGAAAAACCUUUCUAAGAGCUGUGUGUUCAGUCUGGGUGUAGUCAGAGAUGUCUCUGCAGACUGUUUGUUGCCUGUCCUUGGCAAUAGUUCUGCCACUGCUAAACCCUUGUUGCAGAUU